UACGGAAGGCAGCAGUGGGGGAAUAUUGGACAAUGGGGGGAACCCUGAUCCAGCCAUGCCGCGUGUGUGAAGAAGUCCUUAUGGUUGUAAAGCACUUUUAAGCGAGGAGGAGGGGUACUGGUAUUAAUACUACCAGCUACUGGACGUUACUCGCAGAAUAAGCACCGGCUAACUCUGUGCCAGCAGCCGCGGUAAUACAGAGGGUGCGAGCGUUAAUCGGAUUUACUGGGCGUAAAGCGUGCGUAGGCGGCUAUUGAGUCGGAUGUGAAAUCCCCGAGCUUAACUUGGGAAUUGCAUUCGAUACUGGUUAGCUAGAGUGUGGGAGAGGAUGGUAGAAUUCCAGGUGUAGCGGUGAAAUGCGUAGAGAUCUGGAGGAAUACCGAUGGCGAAGGGCAGCCAUCUGGGCCUAACACUGACGCUGAGGUACGAAAGCAUGGGGA
This 440-nucleotide ribosomal RNA is filed under the name uncultured bacterium. Its description in RNAcentral is "bacterial SSU rRNA". It matches the Rfam family "Bacterial small subunit ribosomal RNA", at positions 340 to 767 of the family's 1533-position model. The record is from RNAcentral.